Homo sapiens (human) is the source of this 753-nucleotide long non-coding RNA. RefSeq lists it as uncharacterized. The transcript is spliced from 3 exons. NCBI's taxonomy places the organism in Eukaryota, Metazoa, Chordata, Mammalia, Primates, Hominidae. The record is from RefSeq and is a predicted model, not a curated record.
UGCCAGAGCGGUGGCCACAGAGUCAGAACAGCCUCUCCCCAGUGGGGAUCAUCUCUCUCUGCCAAAGCAACAGCGGUCCCUGCCCCAACCAGACUACCCCACUCAGUGGAGUUACGGAUGCUGCUCCAGCAUCCUAACACUGCCCAGCUGGCGCCUGCCUGUGCUCACCCACACCCCCAGGCCGGCCUUCCCUGCAGCCUGGGCUUGGCCACCUUGGCCUGAUUGAGCACUGAGGCCUCCUGGGCACCCAGCCCCAUCACUGCACCUGCUGCUUCCAGCCCCACCCCACUGGCUCAGGGGUCCUUCCCAGCGGCGCUGAUCAUGAAAUCAACAUGCAAGCAAGUCGUCUCAGGAAACUUUUUAAUGAAAGUGUCGGCCACGGUGGUGUGUAGGUGGCUGAGCUCAGAUUGCAGCUGCUAAGACACCAGCCACUUACCAAGAGAAAGCCAGGCUGCUUCAAACCCAGGGCCCGAGGCAAAAAAGCAUCACUUCCAGCCGGGGAGUCUGGAAGCCACGCCUUGUGGGAGGUCACACUGGCAUCUAGGCCUUCGCCUGCAUUGCAGAAGGAGAGCCGGGUCCCCCUCCUGGAGAACGCUGCGUUCCCCAGCCCCACACCGGCUUUGCCACCACACAGGCUUUUGAGGCAGGAGCAGGUACCGUUGGGAAUGAAUUCUGUGCUGUUGUUGCCAAUCCUGGAAUGAAGUGAGACUCCCCUCCUCAGCCUCCUGACAGAGUCAUCUCAUUUCUUCUUUG